This 497-nucleotide ribosomal RNA is filed under the name uncultured bacterium. RNAcentral's name for it is "partial 16S ribosomal RNA". It matches the Rfam family "Bacterial small subunit ribosomal RNA", at positions 28 to 507 of the family's 1533-position model. The record is from RNAcentral.
GAUGAACGCUGGCGGCGUGCCUAAUACAUGCAAGUCGAGCGAACGGACGAGAAGCUUGCUUCUCUGUUGUUAGCGGCGGACGGGUGAGUAACACGUGGAUACCCUACCUAUAAGACUGGGAUCACUUCGGGAAACCGGAGCUAAUACCGGAUGAUAUUUUGCACCGCAUGGUUCAAUAGUGAAAGACGGUCUUUCUGUCACUUCUAGAUGCAUCCGCGCUGCAUUAGCUAGUUGGUAAGGUAACGGCGUACCAAGGCAACGAUGCAUAGCCGACCUGAGAGAGUGAUAGGCGACACUGGAAGUGAGACACGGUCAAGACGCCUACGGGAGGCAGCAGUAGGGAAUGUUACGCAAUGGGCGGGAGCAUGACGGAGCAACGCCGCGUGAGUGAUGAAGGUCUUCGGAUCGUAAAACUCGGUUAUUAGGGAAGAACAGAUGUGGAAGUAAAUGUGCACAGCGUGACGGUACCUAAUCAGAAAGCCACGGCUAACUACGUG